CCUACGGGAGGCAGCAGUGGGGAAUAUUGGACAAUGGGCGCAAGCCUGAUCCAGCAAUGCCGCGUGAGUGAUGAAGGCCUUCGGGUCGUAAAGCUCUUUUACCCGGGAUGAUAAUGACAGUACCGGGAGAAUAAGCUCCGGCUAACUCCGUGCCAGCAGCCGCGGUAAUACGGAGGGAGCUAGCGUUGUUCGGAAUUACUGGGCGUAAAGCGCACGUAGGCGGUUAUUCAAGUCAGAGGUGAAAGCCCGGGGCUCAACCCCGGAACUGCCUUUGAAACUAGAUGACUAGAAUCUUGGAGAGGUCAGUGGAAUUCCGAGUGUAGAGGUGAAAUUCGUAGAUAUUCGGAAGAACACCAGUGGCGAAGGCGACUGACUGGACAAGUAUUGACGCUGAGGUGCGAAAGCGUGGGGAGCAAACAGGAUUUGAUACCCUGGUAGUCCACGCCGUAAACGAUGAUAACUAGCUGUCCGGGUACUUGGUAUUUGGGUGGCCGCNGCUACGCAUUAAGUUAUUCCGUCCGUGGGUAGGUACGGUCGCGAGAAGUAAACUAACAAAUAGAAGUUAGUAACGGUCGUGUUAGAGUAGCCGAACGGACGACGACGAGGGAGGAGG
Molecule: ribosomal RNA, 613 nt
Filed under: uncultured bacterium
Lineage: Bacteria
Description: bacterial SSU rRNA
Rfam family: Bacterial small subunit ribosomal RNA (bases 1-519)
Source: RNAcentral